GACGAACGCUGGCGGCGUGCUUAACACAUGCAAGUCGAACGGACAGACCCUGCUUUUGUUGGUUGCUCGUUUGGCGAACGGGUGAGUAACACGUGAGUAACCUGCCCUUGACUUUGGGAUAACUUCUGGAAACUGCGGCUCAUACCGCAUAUGAGCUCCUGCUGCAUGUUGUUGGUUGGAAAGUUUCGGCGGUUGUGGAUGUACUCGCGGCUUAUGAGCUUGUUUGUGUGGUAGUGGUUUUCCAAGGCUGCGACGGGUAGCCGGCCUGAGAGGGUGAACGGCGACAUGGGGACUGAGAGACGGAGCAGAAUGCUACGGGAGGCAGUAGGGGGGAAUAUGGCACAAUGGGCGGAAGCCAGAGGUAGAAACGCUGCGUGCGGGAUAACGGCUUUCGGGGGGUAAACCGAUUUCGACUGUGACGAAGAGGGAGUGACGGUAAUGGGUAAAGAAGCAACGGCUAACUACGUG
RNAcentral lists this ribosomal RNA (468 nucleotides) under uncultured bacterium. Its description in RNAcentral is "partial 16S ribosomal RNA". It matches the Rfam family "Bacterial small subunit ribosomal RNA", at positions 28 to 507 of the family's 1533-position model. The record is from RNAcentral.